This 2443-nucleotide long non-coding RNA is filed under the name Rattus norvegicus (Norway rat). RNAcentral's name for it is "long non-coding RNA NONRATT018634". Lineage: Eukaryota; Metazoa; Chordata; Mammalia; Rodentia; Muridae. The record is from RNAcentral.
UUGGGUUUCUUAAGUACAGGUAUUGAGCAGCAUGAAGGACAGUGCUGCCCAGCUCAGGGUGUCUGCUUGGUGGGUCUGACCCCCGCCCAUCCAGUUGUUUCUGGGUGUGUGAGAGAUCUUUCAUUCAUCUGGGUCUAACUGGUUGAGGGACUUUCCCACCUGGGCGGGGCUUCAUGGCCUCCAUUGCUUUUGCUGUCUUUGACCCCUUUUGUUGGGGCUUCUGCAGGCAUUCUGUCUGGGAGCAAUGGAGGGCUGCCUUCUGUGGAACUGUGGGAGGGAGGUUCACCGAUCAGAUGAACAUCUCGUCCAAGCCAGAAUUCUGCGGGGGACACGUGAGCUUUGCUUACAGUUUGCUUUCACCGUACAGACUGAAAGAAGGUUUCAGACUUCCUUUUCUCAGAAAGCAUGAAGAAUUUAUGACGUCUGGCAAAAGAAGCCGCUACUGUAAUGUUCCAGAUGUGUGCAGUAGAGCGCACUGUCACAGCCCUUUCUGCACCACCCAGGCAUCUGUGGCCAUGGAGGGAGGCCCUGCAGACCGCAUUUCCAGAGUUGAGGCCCUCACGAUUGUGCUGUGGGUUUGCUGCUGCUGCUGCUGAGUCCUUCUGGGGGGACCCCUGAGGUGGGGAGCAGAGGGCUUUUGUUCACACUCCCUUUGCCUGGGAGCCCACUUGUGUUGCUGCUGUGUUGUGUAUAUAGGUGAGCGUAUGUGUGUCUGUUUGUCACUUUGUUUCCUCCAUGAUUUCAAUCAUACCCGGACGUCCUCAGAGCCCCUACAUCCUGUUUGGAAUUAUGGCCAACCUAAUCUGUCAAGAGGCUCGGCCCUUUUCAAAACUCAGUGUACACUUUUUAUGGCGUGUGACCAGUGCACAUGCAGCCUGGGGACCUCUGCUGUUGUUUGUAAGCUGUGAUGAUUCUUCCCCUUCCUAAUUGCAGGUUGAGAUUGACGUGGGAAGGAGUGGCUGGCAGGGAGGGAACGUGUUCCCUGAGUGUUAACCCACAGCCUGCCUCAGUUUACCGACUGCUGAGGAGGCUGCAGUGUCCAGUGCUCAGUCAGCCCUCAGAGUGUCCGCCGUGCCCCAUGGGAGCAGGGGUGGAGCAGCUCCUUGUCUCUCAGCCCUGACUUCCUUGUCAACCUUGUGGCUUGUUCUCAGCUCCCAGGAUUACACUGAGCGCAACGCUGCUGCCUUCAGCUUGGUUCUGGCUGGGCAGCCCUGAGUGGGAGCUUUGCUCUGAGGGUUCUCCUCUGACUUGCCCUCAAAGUUCACCAAUUCUGAAACUCUGUGGAGAAGUUUCUGUCACCAGCGGCCUCCUGUUGCUAUUAAGUCAUGUCAUGGGCACCUAAGAGAGGAAGUACACUGAGGUGUGUUUUACAAUUGUUCCUUAAGAUUCUCAAUGGUGAUUGGGAUUGAGAAACUGCAAUUUUCUGAUUGAAAAAUAACCUUGGAUCACCAAAUUAGGUAGAGCAGGGCACACCACUCCCCAGCAGCCAGGGCUCACUCUUGGCAGCAGCUGAGGCUUGAGGAAACUGGUGUCCUAAAACACUGAACCCAGUGCCCACUGGAGCUGCCGGCCCCAGGUUUUUCUUCUUUCCUGAGUUCCCCAGUCUUGUGAGAGCAUUUCCCAGUCAGGUAGCCAGGGGAGCAGUGCCACCAUGCGAUUGUACAGUGUGUUGUUUGUCUCAUUAAACAGGCAGGCCCCAGAGACUGCGUUCACGGCACCAUGCAGAUCUCCGUGGUUCACAUAGCUUGCUUUACACUCGUUUUGUCUUGUCAGAAAUAAAAUGUUUGUGCCUUUCCUUGUCAUGAACUCUGUGUUUGUCACUUUGACACAUGGCUGUGUUUCCCACUUUGUGUGAGCAUAAGCACUGUGCAGUUUUACUGUUUUCCAGUUUGUGUGCCAACCAUUCCUAGCAGCCCUCUGAGGUAUCUCAGGUGAGAGCCACAGGGUGGAACCAGAAAGUACCCCAUCUCGAAGUGUGCCUCUGGGACAGCGUUAUUAGCUAGUCCCUGAGGCCCCAGCACAGGAAAUACUGCAGUGUUCCUUCCUGCAGGCCAUGGAGCCCUGACCCAGGCCAGUCCUGGGCAGUGCUUAGGUGGCUGUUAGCAUAUAACAGGUGAAGUAAGGAUUUGGUGAAGAGCGGGGUCCCAGAAACCAGGCUGAGAACAAGCCGGGGUGUCUUCCUGGUGAGUCCUGCUCACGACUGUUCUCAGGAAAACUGAGCCUUCCCUUUGUGUGUAUGUUCCUCACCCACAACCAUUUCACUGUCAAAAAGUUCACAUUUGUGUCUUCUGAAAGUGAAGGAAGCUGGGAGAGUAUGCGCAUCCAUAUGGUCCAUGUGUACCCAUGCACACACAUGGACACAUGCACACACACAUGCACAGGCACGCGCACACAUGCACACACAUGGACACAUGCACACACACAUGCACAGGCACACACACAC